Ruditapes philippinarum (Manila clam) is the source of this 240-nucleotide small nucleolar RNA. RefSeq annotates it as small nucleolar RNA SNORA73 family. The transcript has a single exon. The record is from RefSeq and is a predicted model, not a curated record. Lineage: Eukaryota; Metazoa; Mollusca; Bivalvia; Venerida; Veneridae.
UCAAUGUUGACAUACAAGGAUGUUUGGUUCGCCCAGACUCCUCAUUUGUCAAAGUGGCUUAUGGGAGCUGAAUGUCCCAUACAGGACUGGAGGUAUUAUAUAUUCCCUUUCCACAACAUUGUAGAACAACUGGCAACCAGGUCAGAAAUGUCCAGGAAAGCUAGACCCUGUAUAUUCCAUAACUUUCCCAGAGUUACUAUGUAACACUGACUGGGGAGACAAACCAUAUAGGGAACAAAA